GAUAAAAUGGCCGAGUGUUGAGGUGGUGGUUUGUAGCUCCAUUAACAGAGGUUUAAGUCCUCUUUUUAUCA
Molecule: transfer RNA, 71 nt
Filed under: Ophidion marginatum (striped cusk-eel)
Lineage: Eukaryota; Metazoa; Chordata; Actinopteri; Ophidiiformes; Ophidiidae
Description: tRNA-Tyr
Rfam family: tRNA
About the family: Transfer RNA (tRNA) molecules are approximately 80 nucleotides in length. Their secondary structure includes four short double-helical elements and three loops (D, anti-codon, and T loops).
Source: RNAcentral